RNAcentral lists this ribosomal RNA (484 nucleotides) under uncultured bacterium. RNAcentral describes it as "partial 16S ribosomal RNA". It matches the Rfam family "Bacterial small subunit ribosomal RNA", at positions 30 to 507 of the family's 1533-position model. The record is from RNAcentral.
AUUGAACGCUGGCGGCAGGCCUAACACAUGCAAGUCGAGCGGAUGAAGGGAGCUUGCUCCUGGAUUCAGCGGCGGACGGGUGAGUAAUGCCUAGGAAUCUGCCUGGUAGUGGGGGAUAACGUCCGGAAACGGGCGCUAAUACCGCAUACGUCCUGAGGGAGAAAGUGGGGGAUCUUCGGACCUCACGCUAUCAGAUGAGCCUAGGUCGGAUUAGCUAGUUGGUGGGGUAAAGGCCUACCAAGGCGACGAUCCGUAACUGGUCUGAGAGGAUGAUCAGUCACACGGGAACUGAGACACGGUCCAGACUCCUACGGGAGGCAGCAGUGGGGAAUAUUGGACAAAGGGCGAAAGCGUGAUCCAGCCAUGCCGCGUGUGUGAAGAAGGACUUCGGAUUGUAAAGCACUUUAAGUUGGGAGGAAGGGCAGUAAGUUAAUACCUUGCUGUAGUGACGUUACCAACAGAAUAAGCACCGGCUAACUUCGUG